This 22-nucleotide microRNA is filed under the name Monodelphis domestica (gray short-tailed opossum). RNAcentral describes it as "mdo-miR-12366b-3p". The record is from miRBase by way of RNAcentral. Lineage: Eukaryota; Metazoa; Chordata; Mammalia; Didelphimorphia; Didelphidae.
UCAUAGAGUGUUAGUGCUGGGA